This 492-nucleotide ribosomal RNA is filed under the name uncultured bacterium. RNAcentral's name for it is "partial 16S ribosomal RNA". It matches the Rfam family "Bacterial small subunit ribosomal RNA", at positions 29 to 507 of the family's 1533-position model. The record is from RNAcentral.
AGUGAACGCUGGCGGUAGGCCUAACACAUGCAAGUCGAACGGCAGCACAGUAAGAGCUUGCUCUUACGGGUGGCGAGUGGCGGACGGGUGAGGAAUACAUCGGAAUCUACUUUUUCGUGGGGGAUAACGUCGGGAAACUUACGCUAAUACCGCAUACGACCUACGGGUGAAAGCAGGGGAUCUUCGGACCUUGCGCGAUUGAUUGAGCCGAUGUCGGAUUAGCUAGUUGGCGGGGUAAAGGCCCACCAAGGCGGCGAUCCGUAGCUGGUCUGAGAGGAUGAUCAGCCACACUGGAAGUGAGACACGGUCCAGACUCCUACGGGAGGCAGCAGUGGGGAAUAUUGGACAAUGGGCGCAAGCCUGAUCCAGCCAUACCGCGUGGGUGAAGAAGGCCUUCGGGUUGUAAAGCCCUUUUGUUGGGAAAGAAAAGCAGCAGGUUAAUACCCCGCUGUUCUGACGGUACCCAAAGAAUAAGCACCGGCUAACUUCGUG